RNAcentral lists this ribosomal RNA (515 nucleotides) under uncultured archaeon. RNAcentral's name for it is "bacterial SSU rRNA". It matches the Rfam family "Archaeal small subunit ribosomal RNA", at positions 345 to 859 of the family's 1478-position model. The record is from RNAcentral.
AACCUUUACACUGCACGACAGUGCGAUAGGGGGACACCGAGUGCGAGGGCAUAGAGCGCUCGCUUUUGUAGACCGUAAGGAGGUCUACGAAUAAGGGCUGGGCAAGACCGGUGCCAGCCGCCGCGGUAACACCGGCAGCCCAAGUGAUGGCCGAUAUUAUUGGGCCUAAAGCGUCCGUAGCUGGCCACACAAGUCCGUCGGGAAAUCCACUCGCUUAACGAGUGGGCGUCCGGCGGAAACUGUGCGGCUUGGGACCGGAAGAUCCGAGGGGUACGUCUGGGGUAGGAGUGAAAUCCCGUAAUCCUGGACGGACCACCGAUGGCGAAAGCACCUCGGAAGGACGGAUCCGACAGUGAGGGACGAAAGCUAGGGUCUCGAACCGGAUUAGAUACCCGGGUAGUCCUAGCCGUAAACGAUGCUCGCUAGGUGUGGCGCAGGCUACGAGCCUGCGCUGUGCCGUAGGGAAGCCGUGAAGCGAGCCGCCUGGGAAGUACGUCUGCAAGGAUGAAACUUAA